This 253-nucleotide ribosomal RNA is filed under the name uncultured bacterium. RNAcentral's name for it is "partial 16S ribosomal RNA". It matches the Rfam family "Bacterial small subunit ribosomal RNA", at positions 524 to 776 of the family's 1533-position model. The record is from RNAcentral.
UACAGGGGGGGCAAGCGUUGUUCGGAAUUACUGGGCGUAAAGGGCUCGUAGGUGGCCAACUAAGUCAGACGUGAAAUCCCUCAGCUUAACUGGGGAACUGCGUCUGAUACUGGAUGGCUUGAGUUUGGGAGAGGGAUGCGGAAUUCCAGGUGUAGCGGUGAAAUGCGUAGAUAUCAGGAGGAACACCAGUGGCGAAGGCGGCUUCCUGGACACUAACUGACGCUGAGACGCGAAAGCGUGGGGAGCAAACAGG